RNAcentral lists this non-coding RNA (310 nucleotides) under Paraburkholderia tropica. Its description in RNAcentral is "Burkholderia tropica cspA thermoregulator". It matches the Rfam family "cspA thermoregulator", at positions 88 to 428 of the family's 428-position model. Lineage: Bacteria; Pseudomonadati; Pseudomonadota; Betaproteobacteria; Burkholderiales; Burkholderiaceae. The record is from Rfam by way of RNAcentral.
CCUUGUCGCUUCACGUACUCUCUUUAUGAGAGUGAAUUCUCGUUUUUUUUCAUCAAGGAUUUUUCAUGGAAACCGGUACCGUUAAGUGGUUCAACGACAGCAAGGGCUUUGGCUUCAUCACCCCGGACAAGGGUGGCGACGACCUGUUCGCUCACUUCUCCGAGAUCAAGACCGACGGCUUCAAGACGCUCGCUGAAAACCAGAAGGUGAGCUUCGAAACCAAGCAAGGCCCGAAGGGUCUGCAAGCGGCUAACAUCAAGCCGCUGUAAAGUUUGAAGGACCCGGCCUCCGACAACGGAGGCCGGGUUGC